AGUUACUCAUAGGAUAUGAAAGUGGGACAAUUGUACUUUGGGACUUGAAAUCUAAAAGAGCCGAGAUCCGCUUUUACUAUGACGAGGCAAUUCAUUCCAUAGGCUGGCACCAUGAAGGCCGUCAGUUCAUGUGCAGUCACUCGGAUGGCAGCCUUACUCUAUGGAAUCUAAAGAACCCUGCCAGGCCCUUUCAAGUCACUAUUCCCCAUGG
Molecule: long non-coding RNA, 211 nt
Organism: Nanorana parkeri
Lineage: Eukaryota; Metazoa; Chordata; Amphibia; Anura; Dicroglossidae
Exons: 2
Source: RefSeq, a predicted model, not a curated record